This 517-nucleotide ribosomal RNA is filed under the name uncultured bacterium. RNAcentral describes it as "partial 16S ribosomal RNA". It matches the Rfam family "Bacterial small subunit ribosomal RNA", at positions 29 to 523 of the family's 1533-position model. The record is from RNAcentral.
AACGGACGCUGGCGGCGUGGAUAAGACAUGCAAGUCGAACGGGAUUUUUUUCUGUAGCAAUACAGAGAAAAGUCUAGUGGCGAACGGGUGCGUAACACGUGAGCAACCUGCCGUGAAGUGGGGGAUAGCUCGCCGAAAGGCGAAUUAAUACCGCAUGUGGCCAAGGAAGACAUCUUCCUGACGCCAAAGCCGGGGCAACCUGGCGCUUCUCGAGGGGCCCGCGGCCUAUCAGCUUCUUGGUGGGGUAACGGCUCACCAAGGCUAUGACGGGUGGCUGGUCUGAGAGGACGACCAGCCACACUGGAACUGAGACACGGUCCAGACACCUACGGGUGGCAGCAGUCGAGAAUUUUUCACAAUGGGGGAAACCCUGAUGGAGCGACGCCGCGUGGAGGAUGAAGGUUUUCGGAUUGUAAACUCCUGUCAUUAGAGAACAAGGCACACGGUUUAACUGGCCGUGUGUUGAUAGUAUCUGAAGAGGAAGAGACGGCUAACUCUGUGCCAGCCGCCGCUGUAA